AACCGGAUUAGAUACCCUGGUAGUCCACGCCGUAAACGAUGUCGACUUGGAGGUUGUUCCCUUGAGGAGUGGCUUCCGGAGCUAACGCGUUAAGUCGACCGCCUGGGGAGUACGGCCGCAAGGUUAAAACUCAAAUGAAUUGACGGGGGCCCGCACAAGAGGUGGAGCAUGUGGUUUAAUUCGAUGCAACGCGAAGAACCUUACCUACUCUUGACAUCCAGCGAACUUAGCAGAGAUGCUUUGGUGCCUUCGGGAACGCUGAGACAGGUGCUGCAUGGCUGUCGUCAGCUCGUGUUGUGAAAUGUUGGGUUAAGUCCCGCAACGAGCGCAACCCUUAUCCUUUGUUGCCAGCGAUUCGGUCGGGAACUCAAAGGAGACUGCCGGUGAUAAACCGGAGGAAGGUGGGGAUGACGUCAAGUCAUCAUGGCCCUUACGAGUAGGGCUACACACGUGCUACAAUGGCGCAUACAAAGAGAAGCGACCUCGCGAGAGCAAGCGGACCUCACAAAGCGCGUCGUAGUCCGGAUCGG
This 530-nucleotide ribosomal RNA is filed under the name uncultured Erwinia sp. RNAcentral describes it as "bacterial SSU rRNA". It matches the Rfam family "Bacterial small subunit ribosomal RNA", at positions 771 to 1301 of the family's 1533-position model. Lineage: Bacteria; Pseudomonadati; Pseudomonadota; Gammaproteobacteria; Enterobacterales; Erwiniaceae. The record is from RNAcentral.